This 87-nucleotide transfer RNA is filed under the name Peptostreptococcus stomatis DSM 17678. RNAcentral's name for it is "tRNA-Tyr". It matches the Rfam family "tRNA". From Rfam's summary of the family: Transfer RNA (tRNA) molecules are approximately 80 nucleotides in length. Their secondary structure includes four short double-helical elements and three loops (D, anti-codon, and T loops). Lineage: Bacteria; Bacillati; Bacillota; Clostridia; Peptostreptococcales; Peptostreptococcaceae. The record is from RNAcentral.
UGGAGGAUUUCCCGAGCGGCCAAAGGGGGCAGACUGUAAAUCUGUUGUCACCGACUUCGGUGGUUCGAAUCCACCAUCCUCCACCAA